UUUGAAAUUUCCACCCCUCAGUGGCAGCAUGCUGCAUUCCCAUUCUAUGUCACUUGGGACUUAAAUGUACUAGCAUGUAUUCUUUGUGUCAGGGGUUACAGUGUUUGUUUUUAUGACUAAUAAUGUGGACCUUGGGAGCCACAUAUCAAAGCGCCAUUGAGGAAAUAUCUAAACCUCUGUUAAAGUGUAAUCCCUUUCAAGGCAUGUCCAUACAGGAGAGCAAAGACAUCUGAAAGCUCUCAACUGCCCAUGCUCCAAGCUGCCUUGGAAGCAAGCCUGUUCCAGCGUAGAAGUCCUUUAACUUCUGUGCCUCCACUAAUGGCCCCUGUGACAUUCUCCUGAAGGGGCUGUGUGACACAGUGGCAGAAGAAGCCUGUUCUCUUCCAUUGUCUGGCUCAAGAAUGGCAAACUGCUGAGUGGUGAGAGUAUUUAGCCCUGAUAGAGCACAAAAUAUCAAAGGUCUCGAAUUUGCUCAGCUUCUGCCAUCUCAGAUACAAUUCUCUAUACCCCCACUCUGCCAUAUAGUUACCAGAGCUUUGGAAGGAUAAAGUUAUUAUUUAGCACAAGUUUUUAUUUUUAAUCUUAGUAGAGAUGGAGUGCACACAAAUUCAUACUGAAAUCAAAGAUUUCAUAUUUCCGAAAGGGACAAUAUAGAUUUAUGGCUGGCUAAGUGCUGAACACCUCUAAAAUCUCACUGUGAAUACUGAAACUUUUGUCUGAUGUGCUACUACACAAAUCCCUUAGCCCUGUGGCAGCUCCUUUUCUGGUUAAUGAGGAUUAUGCUUCCCAACUUCCCAUGGAUUCAUUAUUGUUUUUACAGUUACUGAACAGUUACCAUUUUUGCUCUGGCUUGAAGCUUUUUAAAUAAGUCAUCAGGGCAGCUGUACUGCAAGACCAAGACAGGGAGCUGCAUAAGUGGAAGGAGGUUUGAAGGAUUUAGCCUUGGAACCAGAUUUUAAAUGGAUAUUUUCUGACUAAGGUAUCAAGCACGUCUCAGAUUCAUAUGGCCAAGUGGUGCCAAAGCUGAUGUUCUUUGGUGUCCCAAGGAACAGGGCUAGAGUCUCACAGCUAUGUUGCUUUUUCAGAUAAGAAAGUAGGGGAGAAAAAAAAAUAACAGAUGAAGCAAUACAAAAGGGUUAAGAAGUAUUUGUUAAAGCUAAAACCUGUUAGAUGCCACAGCUUAGAUGUUAUGCUGUGUUAGGACAAGAAACAGAAAAAUAAUAACUUAUUGGCGCAGCAGGAAAAUAUGCAAUUGAUCUGUUUGAUCAUUCUUACAAAAUAAUGCUUCUUUUUACUGCUUGACAGAGUAUCUACACAGGAGUGAUUUCAAAAUAUUUAAUUGUAGGGGAGCUUACUCUGCAGUAGCUGUUCUGGUUAAUUUCCCCUUAGAGAAAAUUUCCUUAAUGAUCAGAGCUAAAGAAAUUGAAAUGAGUGUAAUUUCAAUUGAAAAUUAAGAAUACUUUGAACUUUAUAGAUGUAACAAAUGUCUGUCACCUUAGUUGCCAAGUAGUCAGCACUGAAAAAGGCAAAUUCUGUAGAGUGGUAGUAGUAUGGAACUACUUGCUCUUACUGCAUUCAUGCAUGUUAGCAACAGUGGUGUCCAUUAUUUUCAGUAAUAAUAAUUAAAAACAAACAAACAAACAAAAAAACCUCUUUAAGUAAAUGACUUGUGUAAUGCCCAGAAAGUUGCUGGACUGUGGCUUUUGUGGUAUCCAGCAGGAGCAAGCUCUGAAAGCCAGAAUUCUCAAGAGAGGGAGAGUAUGUGAACCUUGCCUGCUGCUGCCCUUAGAAAGGUCACCCUCUGAAACUGGAAACAGUGUUUUGUCUUGACCUUUAAAUAUUACCUUUGAAUGUGAGAGAACUGGCUUUCAAAUUUCAGGCAGUCUGGGCUAAGAAAAAAAAAAAUCAACAUGAAAAUGUGAGGGUAUGAACUUGUAAUUGUUGAGCAUUUGACGCAGCCUGGCUCGAGGACACUGUAGGACGUGAGGCCCCUGGAUUGCCAGUCUGAAUUGGCUGAGAUCAGCUGGAAUCAAAAGUUAGUCUCUGACUUCAUCUGGUUGAUGUGAGAGAAAUGCAUAGGUGGCCUCAUCAAGUUCUCAGUGCAGGAACCUAACAGUAUUAGCUGGCAUCUCCUACCAAUAGUUUACUUUCCAUUCAGGCCUUAGCAAAUCUAUUCCUAUCUAGGAGCUGUCUUUCCAGCCUGACGUGCAGCAGUACAAAAAAUAUGGUAUCAGCAUUUUUGCCUUAUCUGUAGAGAUUCAAAUCCUGUUCCUGCAGUCUGGCUCCAUUGAUAUGCACUAAUACUUACAUAAAAUUAUUUAUCUGUUUAUCCCUCCUGGCAUUUCUGCUAUGAUUGCUAACAUUCAGAAACUUUAAACACAGCUGCAGUCACAGAUAUGUAACUUACAGAGAGGGCCUAGAUAAUGGAAUGGAGAGGCUCCAAGUUUGACAGUACUUGUUUUCAAAAUAAGCUGCUUCUCAACUAUUAAUUAAUCCACUUAAAGCACACUACAAUUAAAUACUUUGAUAACGUGACGUGAAAAAUAUUUGCAGAAGCUUUUAAAACAAACCCCCACGAACCUCUUUCUGCAAACAAUGUGGAGAUUUGGCACUCUCUUGUAUCCUGAUUGUUUCUGUGACCACAAGGAACAAAUGCAUCCCUGAAUUACCUGGGUUUACAUCUGAUUAUUUUGAUCAACAUGGGUAAUGGUAUCUUUACCAACCUUUGCAUUUUGUAACGCUUUGUAAUGGGGAUUUUAGCAUUCACCUGCGGUGUUGUGAAAUAACUAUUGCCCAAGGAGCUUUGAGAAACAGAGCGAGAACUGUGCCUCUGCUUAUUAUUUGAACAAAGAGCGAGAAAAAAUAUGCAGAAAGAGCCUUUGCAUGUAAAAACACUGGAAAAUAUUAUUAGCUACUUAAUUACUGCUAACUAAGAUUCAUGUUGACAGCACUGCUUUUGUGUUUCUUGGAUCCAAUCCUGGAAGCAAACGAGUAACCGCCAGCAGACAGGCACCGAAUGCUGCCCGAUGUGCUGCCCAUCGCUGGCACUGGGGCUGUGACUGCAGGGCCCGGCUGAGCGGCCUGAACUGAGGCCUGGUGGGUUUUGAAUUCCCCCACCUGAGAGGGGAGCGGUGUGUGGUGUGGGGAUGGCGGCGUGUUGGCUGUGGAAGUUUGGCUGCAGUUUGCCCUGCCUUCAGCUGGGUGCCCCACUGGCACGGGGUGGGGUGUGGGGGCCCCACGUCCCGCUUUGGAACUCCAGAAGACAACUGUUGCCUGGCCAGAAACCAGCAAAUGGAAGGGCGGAGGAUUUAGUGCUUAAGUGAAACCUCCAGCGGCCGGGAGCACAGCGGUUAUAUCACAGCCAAUGGCGUGCGCGCUGGUCACAUGGUGCUGGUGGAACCUCAGGGAAGAGAAGUUGAGUCUCGGCGAACACAGCAGCUCAGUAACGCGCCGCAGCCGGAGCGAGCGGAGCCGGGGCGGGCGGACAGGCGGCGGCCGG
This is a long non-coding RNA of Lagopus leucura (white-tailed ptarmigan), 3499 nucleotides long. RefSeq lists it as uncharacterized. The record is from RefSeq and is a predicted model, not a curated record. The transcript is spliced from 3 exons. NCBI's taxonomy places the organism in Eukaryota, Metazoa, Chordata, Aves, Galliformes, Phasianidae.